CCUAGGGAGGCAGCAGUGGGGAAUAUUGGACAAUGGGCGAAAGCCUGAUCCAGCCAUGCCGCGUGUGUGAAGAAGGCCUUCGGGUUGUAAAGCACUUUCAGUGGGGAAGAAAGCCUUGGGGCUAAUACCCUCGAGGAAGGACAUCACCCACAGAAGAAGCACCGGCUAACUCCGUGCCAGCAGCCGCGGUAAUACGGAGGGUGCGAGCGUUAAUCGGAAUUACUGGGCGUAAAGCGCGCGUAGGCGGUCUGAUAAGCCGGUUGUGAAAGCCCCGGGCUCAACCUGGGAACGGCAUCCGGAACUGUCAGGCUAGAGUGCAGGAGAGGAAGGUAGAAUUCCCGGUGUAGCGGUGAAAUGCGUAGAGAUCGGGAGGAAUACCAGUGGCGAAGGCGGCCUUCUGGACUGACACUGACGCUGAGGUGCGAAAGCGUGGGUAGCAAACAGGAUUAGAUACCCUAGUAGUC
This 464-nucleotide ribosomal RNA is filed under the name Vreelandella stevensii. RNAcentral describes it as "partial 16S ribosomal RNA". It matches the Rfam family "Bacterial small subunit ribosomal RNA", at positions 338 to 795 of the family's 1533-position model. Lineage: Bacteria; Pseudomonadati; Pseudomonadota; Gammaproteobacteria; Oceanospirillales; Halomonadaceae. The record is from RNAcentral.